GGACUACCGGGGUAUCUAAUCCUGUUUGCUCCCCACGCUUUCGCGCCUCAGCGUCAGUCACCGGCUGGAAGCUCGCCUUCGCCACCGGUGUUCUUCCUGAUAUCUACAGAUUUCACCCCUACACCAGGAAUUCCAGCUUCCCCUCCGUGACUCAAGCUAUACAGUUUCCAAUGCAGCUCCGGGGUUGAGCCCCGGCAUUUCACAUCAGACUUACAUAGCCGCCUACGCGCCCUUUACGCCCAAUAAUUCCGAACAACGCUCGCCCCUUACGUGUUACCGCGGCUGCUGGCAC
This 292-nucleotide ribosomal RNA is filed under the name uncultured bacterium. RNAcentral describes it as "partial 16S ribosomal RNA". The record is from RNAcentral.